GAUGCUCUAACCUCUGAGCUAAGCGGGC
Molecule: transfer RNA, 28 nt
Filed under: Olmediella betschleriana
Lineage: Eukaryota; Viridiplantae; Streptophyta; Magnoliopsida; Malpighiales; Salicaceae
Also listed under: 4 other names
Description: partial tRNA-Thr
Source: RNAcentral